AGUGAACGCUGGCGGUAGGCCUAACACAUGCAAGUCGAACGGCAGCACAGUAAGAGCUUGCUCUUACGGGUGGCGAGUGGCGGACGGGUGCGGAAUACAUCGGAAUCUACUUUUUCUUGGGGGAUAACGUAGGGACACUUACGCUAAUACCGCAUACGACCUACGGGUGAAAGCAUGGGAUCUUCGGACCUUGCGCGAUUGAAUGAGCCGAUGUCGGAUUAGCUAGUUGGCGGGGUAAAGGCCCACCAAGGCGACGAUCCGUAGCUGGUCUGAGAGGAUGAUCAGCCACACUGGAACUGAGACACGGUCCAGACUCCUACGGGAGGCAGCAGUGGGGAAUAUUGGACAAUGGGCGCAAGCCUGAUCCAGCCAUACCGCGUGGGUGAAGAAGGUCUUCGGGUUGUAAAGCCCUUUUGUUGGGGAAGAAAAGCAGCAGGUUAAUACCCCGCUGUUCUGACGUUACCAAAAGAAUAAGCACCGGCUAACUUCGUG
RNAcentral lists this ribosomal RNA (492 nucleotides) under uncultured bacterium. RNAcentral describes it as "partial 16S ribosomal RNA". It matches the Rfam family "Bacterial small subunit ribosomal RNA", at positions 29 to 507 of the family's 1533-position model. The record is from RNAcentral.